UUUAAGUCUGAUGUGAAAGCCCCUGGCUCAACCAGGGAGGGUCAUUGGAAACUGGAGAACUUGAGUGCAGAAGAGGAAAGUGGAAUUCCAUGUGUAGCGGUGAAAUGCGUAGAUAUAUGGAGGAACACCAGUGGCGAAGGCGACUUUCUGGUCUGUAACUGACGCUGAGGCUCGAAAGCAUGGGGAGCAAACAGGAUUAGAUACCCUGGUAGUCCAUGCCGUAAACGAUGAGUGCUAAGUGUUGGAGGGUUCCGCCCUUCAGUGCUGCAGCUAACGCAUUAAGCACUCCGCCUGGGGAGUACGACCGCAAGGUUGAAACUCAAAGGAAUUGACGGGGGCCCGCACAAGCGGUGGAGCAUGUGGUUUAAUUCGAAGCAACGCGAAGAACCUUACCAGGUCUUGACAUCCUUUGACCACUCUAGAGAUAGAGCUUUCCCUUCGGGGACAAAGUGACAGGUGGUGCAUGGUUGUCGUCAGCUCGUGUCGUGAGAUGUUGGGUUAAGUCCCGCAACGAGCGCAACCCUUAUUAUUAGUUGCCAGCAUUCAGUUGGGCACUCUAGUGAGACUGCCGGUGAUAAACCGGAGGAAGGUGGGGAUGACGUCAAAUCAUCAUGCCCCUUAUGACCUGGGCUACACACGUGCUACAAUGGAUGGUACAACGAGUCGCAAAACCGCGAGGUUAAGCUAAUCUCUUAAAGCCAUUCUCAGUUCGGAUUGUAGGCUGCAAUUCGCCUACAUGAAGCCGGAAUCGCUAGUAAUCGCGGAUCAGAACGCCGCGGUGAAUACGUUCCCGGGCCUUGUACACACCGCCCGUCACACCACGAGAGUUUGUAACACCCAAAGUCGGUGAGGUAACCUUCGGGAGCCAGCCGCCUAAGGUGGGACAGAUAAUUGGGGUG
This 899-nucleotide ribosomal RNA is filed under the name uncultured bacterium. Its description in RNAcentral is "bacterial SSU rRNA". It matches the Rfam family "Bacterial small subunit ribosomal RNA", at positions 582 to 1482 of the family's 1533-position model. The record is from RNAcentral.